GUCCACGCCGUAAACGAUGGACACUAGGUGUGGGGGGUAUUGACCCCCUCCGUGCCGCAGCUAACGCAGUAAGUGUCCCGCCUGGGGAGUACGGCCGCAAGGCUAAAACUCAAAGGAAUUGACGGGGGCCCGCACAAGCAGCGGAGCGUGUGGUUUAAUUCGACGCAACGCGAAGAACCUUACCAAGGCUUGACAUGCUGGUAGUACCGACCUGAAAGGGAAGGGACCCUUCGGGGAGCCAGUGCAGGUGAUGCAUGGCUGUCGU
Molecule: ribosomal RNA, 265 nt
Filed under: uncultured bacterium
Lineage: Bacteria
Description: partial 16S ribosomal RNA
Rfam family: Bacterial small subunit ribosomal RNA
Source: RNAcentral